This is a long non-coding RNA of Macrosteles quadrilineatus (aster leafhopper), 290 nucleotides long. RefSeq lists it as uncharacterized. The record is from RefSeq and is a predicted model, not a curated record. Lineage: Eukaryota; Metazoa; Arthropoda; Insecta; Hemiptera; Cicadellidae. The transcript has 2 exons.
CAUACCAUUUGCCUUCAUCACACGUGUAGUUUGCUAGCUGACUUUCAACAUGAGACUGUAUACGAUCCUAGUUUUUAUAUCUUUGAUCGUCUCCGCUAUAUGCGUGACUGGCAGGGAUCUUCUCAGCGCACAGUUUCCACAUGAAAAACCGAAAACCCCUAUCACAAAAACGAAUUCAAAACUUGGGGCGAUGUUUCCAAGCCAUGGUGGGAGACAGUAGAUCACUCCUAAUCAAUCAGGGUGUAUUUUAUGUACUUCAUGUAAAAAAAUAUACUUGUUGAGACAAAUUA